UCAGAUUGAACGCUGGCGGCAGGCCUAACACAUGCAAGUCGAGCGGUAACAUUUCUAGCUUGCUAGAAGAUGACGAGCGGCGGACGGGUGAGUAAUACUUGGGGAUCUGCCUGAUGGCGGGGGACAACCACUGGAAACGGUGGCUAAUACCGCAUAAUGCCUACGGGCCAAAGUGUGGGACCUUCGGGCCACAUGCCAUCAGAUGAACCCAAGCGAGAUUAGCUAGUUGGUGAGGUAACGGCUCACCAAGGCGACGAUCUCUAGCUGGUCUGAGAGGAUGAUCAGCCACACUGGGACUGAGACACGGCCCAGACUCCUACGGGAGGCAGCAGUGGGGAAUAUUGGACAAUGGGCGCAAGCCUGAUCCAGCCAUGCCGCGUGUGUGAAGAAGGCCUUCGGGUUGUAAAGCACUUUCAGUGGUGAGGAAGGCCUUGUAGUUAAUAGCUGCAAGGAUUGACGUUAGCCACAGAAGAAGCACCGGCUAACUCCGUGCCAGCAGCCGCGGUAAUACGGAGGGUGCGAGCGUUAAUCGGAAUUACUGGGCGUAAAGCGCACGUAGGCGGUUUGUUAAGCAAGAUGUGAAAGCCCAGGGCUCAACCUUGGAAUAGCAUUUUGAACUGGCAAGCUAGAGUUUUGAAGAGGGUGGUAGAAUUUCCAGUGUAGCGGUGAAAUGC
RNAcentral lists this ribosomal RNA (674 nucleotides) under uncultured bacterium. RNAcentral's name for it is "bacterial SSU rRNA". It matches the Rfam family "Bacterial small subunit ribosomal RNA", at positions 24 to 689 of the family's 1533-position model. The record is from RNAcentral.